This 447-nucleotide ribosomal RNA is filed under the name uncultured bacterium. Its description in RNAcentral is "partial 16S ribosomal RNA". It matches the Rfam family "Bacterial small subunit ribosomal RNA", at positions 29 to 523 of the family's 1533-position model. The record is from RNAcentral.
AACGAACGCUGGCGGCAGGCCUAACACAUGCAAGUCGAGCGCCCAGCAAUGGGAGCGGCGCACGGGUGCGUAACGCGUGGGAACGUACCUCUUGGUACGGAAUAACACAGAGAAAUUUGUGCUAAUACCGUAUAAUAUCUCCGGAUCAAAGAUUUAUCGCCAAGAGAUCGGCCCGCGUUGGAUUAGCUAGUUGGUGAGGUAACGGCUCACCAAGGCUACGAUCCAUAGCUGGUCUGAGAGGAUGAUCAGCCACACUGGGACUGAGACACGGCCCAGACUCCUACGGGAGCCAGCAGUGAGGAAUAUUGGACAAUGGGCGAAAGCCUGAUCCAGCCAUGCCGCGUGAAUGAAGAAGGCCUUAGGGUUGUAAAGUUCUUUCAGUGGUGAAGAUAAUGACGGUAGCCACAGAAGAAGCUCCGGCUAAAUUCGUGCCAGCCGCCGCAGUAA